RNAcentral lists this ribosomal RNA (253 nucleotides) under uncultured bacterium. RNAcentral describes it as "partial 16S ribosomal RNA". It matches the Rfam family "Bacterial small subunit ribosomal RNA", at positions 524 to 776 of the family's 1533-position model. The record is from RNAcentral.
UACGUAGGGUGCGAGCGUUAAUCGGAAUUACUGGGCGUAAAGUGUGCGCAGGCGGCAGAGCAAGUCGAGUGUGAAAGCCCCGGGCUUAACUUGGGAAUUGCGCUCGAAACUACUUUGCUGGAGUGUGGCAGAGGAAGGUGGAAUUCCACGUGUAGCGGUGAAAUGCGUAGAGAUGUGGAGGAACACCAAUGGCGAAGGCAGCCUUCUGGGCCAACACUGACGCCCAUGCACGAAAGCGUGGGGAGCAAACAGG